RNAcentral lists this ribosomal RNA (252 nucleotides) under uncultured bacterium. RNAcentral's name for it is "partial 16S ribosomal RNA". It matches the Rfam family "Bacterial small subunit ribosomal RNA", at positions 524 to 776 of the family's 1533-position model. The record is from RNAcentral.
UACGGGGGGGGCAAGCGUUGUUCGGAAUUACUGGGCGUAAAGGGCUUGUAGGUGGCCAACUAAGUCAGACGUGAAAUCCCCAGGCUCAACUUGGGAACUGCAUCCGAUACUGGAUGGCUUGAAUUCGGGAGAGGGAUGCAGAAUUCCGGUGGAGCGGUGAAAUGCGUAGAGAUCGGAAAGAACACCAACGGCGAAAGCACUCUGCUGGGCCGACACUGACACUGAGAGACGAAAGCUAGGGGAGCGAAUGGG